AAGAAAAAGGUAAGAAUCCAUUAAUACAAGAGCUGUCGGUCACAAUAAUAUGCUAAUGCUCAAAUUCAGUAAACCUCCUAGUUUUUAGAACACUCCUUGACAGACAGGCCCACAAAUCUCUUGGCAAAAAUUUCAUGUUCUACAAGGAAGAAGCUUCACCACUUUUGGGAAAUACAAAUCCCUUUAUCUUGUCAGGGCACUGACAAGUACUUUAAACAUUUGAAGAAAGAAAAUUUCAGAGGCAUGACUCUCCAACACUGACCUUUACAGAGAGGCUACUUUGCAAUAUGGUGCCACAAAUGUUGUUCUUACACAAAUAUUAGACAUUAUUCUAGUUUUUCCUGCAUAUAAAUAGCCUGUAAGACCAGUUCUCUGUCUGUCUGAAUUGCAGAUCAUGGGUAAGAGCACUCUGUGUUCACAGGAAAGAUCUACUCAAAGCUAGCAGUUUCCUCAUAGAUGAAGCAAAAUGAACAAAGGCUCAGGUAUGUUUAAUAAGGGAUAUGAAACCUAUCAUCUCAAAAUACUAAGGAACCAACACUACUGAGCCCAUCACUAAAACUGAGAACAGUAGGUUUUUGAGGUACAACUAUUUACAAUCAUUAGUAGGCAACUGUCAAUCCUCUGGAUCAUGGUGUAUGCCUAAGAGGUCUAGUCAUCAAGACCUUUGAUGCAUACACCUAGGCAACAGUAUGAAGGAGCAGAGGCUGCCCAAGACCUACCAUCCCUCCUUUAGAUCACUGAGAUAGAAUCCAAAGGCCAGAUUGAGUCCAGAUAUUCUGUGCCUGAAUGGUUGUAGCUUCUGCCAGAGAGUAACAGAUGAGAACUGCUGCUGAUGGUCUAAUGCCUCAGUGAGGAAGCACUUCUGUCAGGGUGAUGUCCCCAGCCUCUCUCCAACCAAGGAGUACCCAACAAGGCAGCAGGGGCUGGGGGUGAGGCACCCUAUACUCACCUUACUCUGGAGGUUGCAAAGUUGUAGCAUUUUAUAGGAGCUCCCUGCCACGAUAGCCCCACCACGUUGCCACCAGGCCUUCCAGUUGGAUGCAGUUUAUGGUCAUACCGAGGACCCUCACGACAAUUAGUUAUUAAAUUGCUAGUUACAACAAUGCUGUUACAACUGUUUUGCAAAAUUUUGAUGAAUGCUUUUUCGAUGUCUGGUUUAGAAUUAGGUUCUUGAAAGACCUUCUGAUUUAGGUUCUUUUAAAAAAAAAAGAAAU
Gavialis gangeticus (Gharial) is the source of this 1214-nucleotide long non-coding RNA. RefSeq lists it as uncharacterized. The transcript has 2 exons. NCBI's taxonomy places the organism in Eukaryota, Metazoa, Chordata, Crocodylia, Gavialidae. The record is from RefSeq and is a predicted model, not a curated record.